UACGAAGGGGGCUAGCGUUGCUCGGAAUCACUGGGCGUAAAGCGCACGUAGGCGGAUUGUUAAGUCAGGGGUGAAAUCCUGGAGCUCAACUCCAGAACUGCCUUUGAUACUGGCAAUCUCGAGUCCGGGAGAGGUGAGUGGAACUCCGAGUGUAGAGGUGAAAUUCGUAGAUAUUCGGAAGAACACCAGUGGCGAAGGCGGCUCACUGGCCCGGUACUGACGCUG
This 225-nucleotide ribosomal RNA is filed under the name uncultured bacterium. RNAcentral describes it as "partial 16S ribosomal RNA". It matches the Rfam family "Bacterial small subunit ribosomal RNA", at positions 524 to 748 of the family's 1533-position model. The record is from RNAcentral.